UACGUAGGGUCCAAGCGUUAAUCGGAAUUACUGGGCGUAAAGCGUGCGCAGGCGGUUUUGUAAGCCAGAUGUGAAAUCCCCGGGCUUAACCUGGGAAUGGCAUUUGGGACUGCAAGGCUAGAGUACGGCAGAGGGGACUAGAAUUCCUGGUGUAGCAGUGAAAUGCGUAGAUAUCAGGAGGAAUACCGAUGGCGAAGGCAGGUCCCUGGGUCGAUACUGACGCUCAUGCACGAAAGCGUGGGGAGCAAACAGG
RNAcentral lists this ribosomal RNA (253 nucleotides) under uncultured bacterium. Its description in RNAcentral is "partial 16S ribosomal RNA". It matches the Rfam family "Bacterial small subunit ribosomal RNA", at positions 524 to 776 of the family's 1533-position model. The record is from RNAcentral.